This 72-nucleotide transfer RNA is filed under the name Marmota monax (woodchuck). Its description in RNAcentral is "tRNA.Ala". Lineage: Eukaryota; Metazoa; Chordata; Mammalia; Rodentia; Sciuridae. The record is from RNAcentral.
GGAUUGUAGCUCAGUGGUAGAGUGCUUGCCUAGCACAUAUGUAUGAGGCCCUGUGUUCAAUCCUCAGCACCA